RNAcentral lists this ribosomal RNA (1344 nucleotides) under uncultured bacterium. Its description in RNAcentral is "16S ribosomal RNA". It matches the Rfam family "Bacterial small subunit ribosomal RNA", at positions 28 to 1378 of the family's 1533-position model. The record is from RNAcentral.
GACGAACGUUUGCGGCGUGCUUAACACAUGCAAGUCGAACGGAAAGGCCCUGCUUUUGUGGGGUGCUCGAGUGGCGAACGGGUGAGUAACACGUGAGUAACCUGCCCUUGACUUUGGGAUAACUUCAGGAAACUGGGGCUAAUACCGGAUAGGAGCUCCUGCUGCAUGGUGGGGGUUGGAAAGUUUCGGCGGUUGGGGAUGGACUCGCGGCUUAUCAGCUUGUUGGUGGGGUAGUGGCUUACCAAGGCUUUGACGGGUAGCCGGCCUGAGAGGGUGACCGGCCACAUUGGGACUGAGAUACGGCCCAGACUCCUACGGGAGGCAGCAGUGGGGAAUAUUGCACAAUGGGCGGAAGCCUGAUGCAGCAACGCCGCGUGCGGGAUGACGGCCUUCGGGUUGUAAACCGCUUUCGCCUGUGACGAAGCGUGAGUGACGGUAAUGGGUAAAGAAGCACCGGCUAACUACGUGCCAGCAGCCGCGGUGAUACGUAGGGUGCGAGCGUUGUCCGGAUUUAUUGGGCGUAAAGGGCUCGUAGGUGGUUGAUCGCGUCGGAAGUGUAAUCUUGGGGCUUAACCCUGAGCGUGCUUUCGAUACGGGUUGACUUGAGGAAGGUAGGGGGGAAUGGAAUUUCCUGGUGGAGCGGUGGAAUGCGCAGAUAUCAGGAGGAACACCAGUGGCGAAGGCGGUUCUCUGGGCCUUUCCUGACGCUGAGGAGCGAAAGCGUGGGGAGCGAACAGGCUUAGAUACCCUGGUAGUCCACGCUGUAAACGGUGGGUACUAGGUGUGGGGUCCAUUCCACGGGUUCCGUGCCGUAGCUAACGCUUUAAGUACCCCGCCUGGGGAGUACGGCCGCAAGGCUAAAACUCAAAGGAAUUGACGGGGCCCCGCACAAGCGGCGGAGCAUGCGGAUUAAUUCGAUGCAACGCGUAGAACCUUACCUGGGUUUGACAUGGAUCGGGAGUGCUCAGAGAUGGGUGUGCCUCUUUUGGGGUCGGUUCACAGGUGGUGCAUGCCUGUCGUCAGCUCGUGUCGUGAGAUGUUGGGUUAAGUCCCGCAACGAGCGCAACCCUUGUUCACUGUUGCCAGCACGUUAUGGUGGGGACUCAGUGGAGACCGCCGGGGUCAACUCGGAGGAAGGUGGGGAUGACGUCAAGUCCUCAUGCCCCUUAUGUCCAGGGCUUCACGCAUGCUACAAUGGCUGGUACAGAGAGUGGCGAGCCUGUGAGGGUGAGCGAAUCUCGGAAAGCCGGUCCCAGUUCGGAUUGGGGUCUGCAACUCGACCUCAUGAAGUCGGAGUCGCUAGUAAUCGCAGAUCAGCAACGCUGCGGUGAAUACGUUCCCGGG